Molecule: ribosomal RNA, 450 nt
Filed under: uncultured bacterium
Lineage: Bacteria
Description: partial 16S ribosomal RNA
Rfam family: Bacterial small subunit ribosomal RNA
Source: RNAcentral
GUGGGGAAUAUUCCGCAAUGGACGAAAGUCUGACGGAGCAACGCCGCGUGAGUGAUGAAGGUUUUCGGACUGUAAAGCUCUGUUGUUUAGGACGAAAGUGCCUGUUGCAAAUAGUUACAGGUAUUGACGGUACUGAACGAGGAAGCCACGGCUAACUACGUGCCAGCAGCCGCGGUAAUACGUAGGUGGCAAGCGUUGUCCGGAAUUAUUGGGCGUAAAGAGCAUGUAGGCGGGAAUCUAAGUCUGUUGUGAAAAUGCGGGGCUCAACCCCGUAUUGCGAUGGAAACUGGGUGUCUUGAGUGCAGGAGAGGAAAGGGGAAUUCCCAGUGUAGCGGUGAAAUGCGUAGAUAUUGGGAGGAACACCAGUGGCGAAGGCGCCUUUCUGGACUGUGUCUGACGCUGAGAUGCGAAAGCCAGGGUAGCGAACGGGAUUAGAUACCCUGGUAGUCC